GAUGAACGCUGGCGGCGUGCUUAACACAUGCAAGUCGAACGAUGAAGCCCAGCUUGCUGGGUGGAUCAGUGGCGAACGGGUGAGUAACACGUGAGUAACCUGCCCUUAACUCUGGGAUAAGCCUGGGAAACUGGGUCUAAUACCGGAUAGGAGCGCCUACCGCAUGGUGGGUGUUGGAAAGAUUUAUCGGUUUUGGAUGGACUCGCGGCCUAUCAGCUUGUUGUUGAGGUAAUGGCUCACCAAGGCGACGACGGGUAGCCGGCCUGAGAGGGUGACCGGCCACACUGGGACUGAGACACGGCCCAGACUCCUACGGGAGGCAGCAGUGGGGAAUAUUGCACAAUGGGCGAAAGCCUGAUGCAGCGACGCCGCGUGAGGGAUGACGGCCUUCGGGUUGUAAACCUCUUUCAGUAGGGAAGAAGCGAAAGUGACGGUACCUGCAGAAGAAGCACCGGCUAACUACGUG
RNAcentral lists this ribosomal RNA (466 nucleotides) under uncultured bacterium. RNAcentral's name for it is "partial 16S ribosomal RNA". It matches the Rfam family "Bacterial small subunit ribosomal RNA", at positions 28 to 507 of the family's 1533-position model. The record is from RNAcentral.